AGAGAAAAAGGGGACGGAGGGGAUUAAGUCGUUUGUGCACAUGCGACUUAAUCCCCUCCGUCCCCUUUUCCUUU
Molecule: non-coding RNA, 74 nt
Filed under: Stenotrophomonas sp. AG209
Lineage: Bacteria; Pseudomonadati; Pseudomonadota; Gammaproteobacteria; Lysobacterales; Lysobacteraceae
Source: RNAcentral